Long non-coding RNA from Dalotia coriaria, 1438 nucleotides. RefSeq lists it as uncharacterized. The record is from RefSeq and is a predicted model, not a curated record. The transcript has 4 exons. NCBI's taxonomy places the organism in Eukaryota, Metazoa, Arthropoda, Insecta, Coleoptera, Staphylinidae.
CAAUAAAAGCCGAUGCCAAAUAUCCAUGACUAAUUGGUAACUCUAGCAGGAAGGCACUGAAUAUACAAAUAAUUCGCUGCCGGACCACAUUCACUCAAUCGAGAGCUUUUCGCGUGAAAAAUUAGCGAAUGUAUAUCUUUAUCACUUCGCGACAAUAAUAAAAAGUUGCCGCGAUGCGCGGUGUAUUUUCGUGUGGAGCGCGCGCGACUUUCGGGCCGUUCCGGCGCGCGCGUGUUUGAUGAUUUCCUCGGCUGCUCGCCCGCCGCUAUCCGGCUCUGAGUGCGCGUAUCAAGUGUGUGCGGCUGCCAGACAGCGCGCGCUCUCGUUCACUUCGCCGCCAGCCGCGCCGUUACGUUCGCUAAACUAUACUGAAACUACUGCUCAACACAGAAACUAUUCCCGUAGUUCAACCACCAUGCAUGCUUAACCAAGCGGAAUGCAUGUGUGCGUGGAUUCGUCCGCUUCGCCACCGACACCGUGUUGCAUAUUGUAACAUGUUCGUUAUCCGGCAUUCGUAGAAUGAAUGUGUGUGAGUGCAGUGGACGAGCGCGCUCUUUAUUGAAGAUUGGUUUUUAUGUUUUAUAUCAAAUUGACAUGGAAUAUAGAAACAUGGGAGCUCAUUUUCACUCGGGUCCCGAGCGACUAGUUGAAAAAUUAGGUUAUGUGGUUAUAGUAAUAUAGUUAGAAGUUUUAUUCGAGUAUAAAGGCAGGAAACAAAUAUUUGUUGUAUUGUUGGUUGCCGCUAUACUCAACAAUGACAGAUGAAACAAUGCUAAUAUUAACAUUCAAUUGUCCCCACAAAGUUAUAUCAAAUAUUAUUAAACUCAGAGUUUUCACUUGAAUCCCAAGCGCCUAGUUGAAGAAUAUGGUUGUGUGGUUAUAAUAAAGUAGUUACAACCUUUAUUAGAGUAUAAACAAGCAGAAUACAAGGGUUUGCUGUAUUGUUGGUUGCCUAUAUAUAUAUACUCAACUCAAAGAGAUGAAAACCUUUUGACCUUAAAUUUUUACUAUAAAGUUCUGUCAAAUAUUAAAUUGUCAGUUUACACCGAAAAAUUAGGUUAUAGUUAUAGUCACAACUUUUAAUAGAACUUUAUCGACUUUCUUAUAAUGUUGCUAGUCGAUAUUCUACAUAGUUUUCACCCCGAUCCCAAGCGUCUAGUAAAAAAAUAAGGUUAGUGGUUAUAAUAUAUUAGUCACCAUUUUUUAUUAAAGCAUAAAUAGACAGGACACAAUUGCAAUCAUUUUUUAUUAUCAAAAGCACAAUAAUUAUUAAAUUCUUUUAAUUUUUGUGACUUUAUUAGCUUCAGUUUAACGUUGGUUGCCUAUAUACGCUCUUAAAAUGUGAUUGCCACCACAACGUCAUAUCGAAUUUUAAAUACGCAGCGAAUAUGGUGAAUAUGUGCAUAUUAUUGAAGCAAUAAAGAAUAUUCCAAGCUUC